This 108-nucleotide small RNA is filed under the name Arabidopsis thaliana (thale cress). Its description in RNAcentral is "ATSL251150". Lineage: Eukaryota; Viridiplantae; Streptophyta; Magnoliopsida; Brassicales; Brassicaceae. The record is from RNAcentral.
UUAAAGUCAAUCCCCAAUAUUAUCUAUGUUAAUAUUUUUGAAAUACAUAUUUGUUGUUUUAAUUGAGUCGUUUUCUAAUUUUUGCACCUAAACAUUCAAUCGAAUCUU